This 487-nucleotide ribosomal RNA is filed under the name uncultured Turicibacter sp. Its description in RNAcentral is "partial 16S ribosomal RNA". The record is from RNAcentral. Lineage: Bacteria; Bacillati; Bacillota; Erysipelotrichia; Erysipelotrichales; Turicibacteraceae.
CACGUAGUUAGCCGUGGCUUUCUCAUAAGGUACCGUCAAUUGAUAGUCAUUUCCUCCUAUCACCUUUCUUCCCUUAUAACAGAAUUUUACAACCCGAAGGCCUUCUUCAUUCACGCGGCGUUGCUCGGUCAGGCUUUCGCCCAUUGCCGAAGAUUCCCUACUGCUGCCUCCCGUAGGAGUCUGGGCCGUGCCUCAGUCCCAGUGUGGCCGUUCACCCUCUCAGGUCGGCUACGCAUCGUCGCCUUGGUAGGCCUUUACCCCACCAACUAGCUAAUGCGCCGCAGGCUCAUCCAUCAGUGAUGCCAGGAGCAUCUUUAAACUUUCGUCCUAUCCGGUAUUAGCGAUCGUUUCCAAUCGUUGUCCCCGUCUGAUGGGCAGAUCACCUACGUGUUACUCACCCGUUCGCCGCUUCCCACCGAAGUGGUUCGCUCGACUUGCAUGUAUUAGGCACGCCGCCAGCGUUCAUCCUGAGCCAGGAUCAAACUCU